This 41-nucleotide ribosomal RNA is filed under the name Collybia mongolica. Its description in RNAcentral is "Leucocalocybe mongolica partial 18S ribosomal RNA". Lineage: Eukaryota; Fungi; Basidiomycota; Agaricomycetes; Agaricales; Clitocybaceae. The record is from RNAcentral.
CCAAAAAGGUUUUCGUAGGGUGACCUGCGGAAGGAUCAUUA